GAUGAAGAACGUAGCGAAACGCGAUAGUUAAUGUGAAUUGCAGAAUUCAGUGAAUCAUCGAGUCUUUGAACGCACAUUGCGCCCCCUGGUAUUCCGGGGGGCAUGCCUGUCCGAGCGUCAUUGCUGCCCAUCAAGCGCGGCUUGUGUGUUGGGCCGCCGUCCGCCUUCCCCCCCGGGGGGAGGGGGACGGGCCCGAAAGGCAGCGGCGGCACCGCGUCCGGUCCUCGAGCGUAUGGGGCUCUGUCACCCGCUCUGGAGGCCCGGCCGGCGCCCGCCGACCCCCAACCUUCUUCUAACCAGGUUGACCUCGGAUCAGGUAGGGAUACCCGCUGAACUUAAGCAUAUCAAUAAGCGGACGA
This 359-nucleotide unclassified non-coding RNA is filed under the name soil metagenome. RNAcentral describes it as "partial contains 5.8S ribosomal RNA, internal transcribed spacer 2, and large subunit ribosomal RNA". The stretch from base 1 to 120 matches the Rfam family "5.8S ribosomal RNA", at positions 35 to 154 of the family's 154-position model. The record is from RNAcentral.